This 466-nucleotide ribosomal RNA is filed under the name uncultured bacterium. Its description in RNAcentral is "partial 16S ribosomal RNA". It matches the Rfam family "Bacterial small subunit ribosomal RNA", at positions 28 to 507 of the family's 1533-position model. The record is from RNAcentral.
GAUGAACGCUGGCGGCGUGCUUAACACAUGCAAGUCGAACGGAAAGGCCACAGCUUGCUGUGGUACUCGAGUGGCGAACGGGUGAGUAACACGUGGGUGAUCUGCCCUGUACUUCGGGAUAAGCUUGGGAAACUGGGUCUAAUACCGGAUAGGAAUCACAUGUGGGUGUGUGGUUGGAAAGCUUUUGCGGUAUGGGAUGAGCUCGCGGCCUAUCAGCUUGUUGGUGGGGUAAUGGCCUACCAAGGCGUCGACGGGUAGCCGGCCUGAGAGGGUGUACGGCCACAUUGGGACUGAGAUACGGCCCAGACUCCUACGGGAGGCAGCAGUGGGGAAUAUUGCACAAUGGGCGCAAGCCUGAUGCAGCGACGCCGCGUGGGGGAUGACGGCCUUCGGGUUGUAAACUCCUUUCGUCAGGGACGAAGCGAAAGUGACGGUACCUGGUUAAGAAGCACCGGCUAACUACGUG